RNAcentral lists this RNase P RNA (376 nucleotides) under Paracoccus seriniphilus. RNAcentral describes it as "Bacterial RNase P class A". It matches the Rfam family "Bacterial RNase P class A". From Rfam's summary of the family: Ribonuclease P (RNase P) is a ubiquitous endoribonuclease, found in archaea, bacteria and eukarya as well as chloroplasts and mitochondria. Its best characterised activity is the generation of mature 5'-ends of tRNAs by cleaving the 5'-leader elements of precursor-tRNAs. Cellular RNase Ps are ribonucleoproteins. RNAcentral also lists the same sequence under 1 other name. Lineage: Bacteria; Pseudomonadati; Pseudomonadota; Alphaproteobacteria; Rhodobacterales; Paracoccaceae. The record is from Rfam by way of RNAcentral.
GCGGGGGGCUGGAUGACCGCGUGACCAUGUGUUGCGAGGAAAGUCCGGACUCCAUGAGGCGACGAUGCCGGGUAACGCCCGGCGGGGGUAACCCCAGGGAAAGCGCCACAGAGAACAGACCGCCCGCGCUUGCGCGGGUAAGGGUGAAACGGUGGAGUAAGAGCCCACCGGAGGGCUGGCAACAGUCCUCGCAUGGCAAGCCCCAUCGGGAGCAAUGCCGAAUAGGGACCGCGCGCGGAGCAAUCCGCAGGGCCGCCUUGCCCCAGCAGGUCCGGGUAGGCAGCUAGAUCCGGUCGGUAACGGCCGGGCCAGAGGAAUGGUCAUCCAGAGAGAGUUUUCUCUUGGACAGAAUCCGGCUUACAGGCCCCCCGCACAU